AAAAAAUUAGUUAAAUUAUAACAUUAGUUUGUCAAACUAAAAUUAUCAAAUUAUUGAUAUUUUUUA
RNAcentral lists this transfer RNA (66 nucleotides) under Hydrophoria lancifer. RNAcentral's name for it is "tRNA-Asp". Lineage: Eukaryota; Metazoa; Arthropoda; Insecta; Diptera; Anthomyiidae. The record is from RNAcentral.